RNAcentral lists this ribosomal RNA (253 nucleotides) under uncultured bacterium. RNAcentral's name for it is "partial 16S ribosomal RNA". It matches the Rfam family "Bacterial small subunit ribosomal RNA", at positions 524 to 776 of the family's 1533-position model. The record is from RNAcentral.
UACGGGGGGGGCAAGCGUUGUUCGGAAUUACUGGGCGUAAAGGGCUCGUAGGCGGCCAACUAAGUCAGACGUGAAAUCCCUCGGCUUAACCGGGGAACUGCGUCUGAUACUGGAUGGCUUGAGAUUGGGAGAGGGAUGCGGAAUUCCAGGUGUAGCGGUGAAAUGCGUAGAUAUCUGGAGGAACACCGGUGGCGAAGGCGGCAUUCUGGACCGACAUUGACGCUGAGGAGCGAAAGCGUGGGGAGCAAACAGG